CCUACGGGUGGCAGCAGUGGGGACUAUUGCACAAUGGGGGAAACCCUGAUGCAGCGACGUAGCGUGAGUGAAGAAGGAAUUCGUUAUGUAAAGCUCUAUCAGCAGGGAAGAAAAUGACGGUACUUGAGGAGGUAGCACCGGCUAACUUCGUGCCAGCAGCCGCGGUAAUACGUAGGGGGCUAGCGUUAUCCGGAUUUACUGGGCGUAAAGGGUGCGUAGGUGGUUUCUUAAGUCAGAGGUGAAAGGCUACGGCUAAACCGUAGUAAGCCUUUGAAACUGGGAAACUUGAGUGCAUGAGAGGAGAGUGGAAUUCCUAGUGUAGCGGUGAAAUGCGUAGAUAUUAGGAGGAACACCAGUUGCGAAGGCGGCUCUCUGGACUGUAACUGACACUGAGGCACGAAAGCGUGGGGAGCAAACAGGAUUAGAUACCCGGGUAGUC
RNAcentral lists this ribosomal RNA (439 nucleotides) under uncultured bacterium. RNAcentral's name for it is "partial 16S ribosomal RNA". It matches the Rfam family "Bacterial small subunit ribosomal RNA", at positions 338 to 795 of the family's 1533-position model. The record is from RNAcentral.